This 492-nucleotide ribosomal RNA is filed under the name uncultured bacterium. Its description in RNAcentral is "partial 16S ribosomal RNA". It matches the Rfam family "Bacterial small subunit ribosomal RNA", at positions 29 to 507 of the family's 1533-position model. The record is from RNAcentral.
AGUGAACGCUGGCGGUAGGCCUAACACAUGCAAGUCGAACGGCAGCACAGUAAGAGCUUGCUCUUACGGGUGGCGAGUGGCGGACGGGUGAGGAAUACAUCGGAAUCUACUUUUUCGUGGGGGAUAACGUAGGGAAACUUACGCUAAUACCGCAUACGACCUACGGGUGAAAGCAGGGGAUCUUCGGACCUUGCGCGAUUGAAUGAGCCGAUGUCGGAUUAGCUAGUUGGCGGGGUAAAGGCCCACCAAGGCGACGAUCCGUAGCCGGUCUGAGAGGAUGAUCAGCCACACUGGAACUGAGACACGGUCCAGACUCCUACGGGAGGCAGCAGUGGGGAAUAUUGGACAAUGGGCGCAAGCCUGAUCCAGCCAUACCGCGUGGGUGAAGAAGGCCUUCGGGUUGUAAAGCCCCUUUGUUGGGAAAGAAAAGCAGCAGGUUAAUACCCCGCUGUUCUGACGGUACCCAAAGAAUAAGCACCGGCUAACUUCGUG